GAAUGGGCGCAAGCCUGACGGAGCAACGCCGCGUGGAGGAUGACGGCUCUCGGGUUGUAAACUCCUUUUGUGGGGGAUGAACAAGGACAGUACCCCACCAACAAGCCCCGGCUAACUACGUGCCAGCAGCCGCGGUAAUACGUAGGGGGCCAGCGUUGUCCGGACUUACUGGGCGUAAAGCGCGCGUAGGCGGUCGUGUAUGUGCCGUGUGAAAGCGCCGGGCUACUCCCGGCGAGGUCAUGGUAGACAGCACGACUUGAGCCUCGGAGAGGUCGGUGGAAUUCCGGGUGGAGCGGUGAAAUGCGUAGAGAUCCGGAGGAACACCAGGGGCGAAGGCGGCCGACUGGCCGAGUGCUGACGCUGAGGCGCGACGGCGUGGGGAGCAAACCGGAUUAGAUACCCGGGUAGUCCACGCAGUAAACGAUGCACACCCGGUGUCGGGCCGCAAAUUCUUUGCGGCGCGGUGCCCAAGGUUACCUGAUGAGCGUGCCGCCUGGGGACUACGAGCGCAAGCUUA
This 517-nucleotide ribosomal RNA is filed under the name uncultured Chloroflexota bacterium. Its description in RNAcentral is "bacterial SSU rRNA". It matches the Rfam family "Bacterial small subunit ribosomal RNA", at positions 369 to 896 of the family's 1533-position model. Lineage: Bacteria; Bacillati; Chloroflexota. The record is from RNAcentral.